Molecule: long non-coding RNA, 942 nt
Filed under: Homo sapiens (human)
Lineage: Eukaryota; Metazoa; Chordata; Mammalia; Primates; Hominidae
Description: non-protein coding lnc-FAM118B-4:1
Source: RNAcentral
CAGGCAUGAGCCACGGUGCCCAGCCCUUAUGCUAACUUCUGAUGGAGAAGUUAGAGAAGUUCUUGCUCCAGGCCUCACAGUGGGUGGUACGUGGUAGAGCCCUCCUCUCCCACUACUUCCCCCAAAUUGCUUUCACCAUGAGCCAAGGCUUCAAAACCUUUGCUUCACAUUUUGGCUUAAGGUGAUCUAACCUCAGAGCUCACCACUCGGCCACAUCAGCCACUGUCAGGUUCAAGGUACGCUUCACCGUGCACUGGCCUGUUCUCCUGGCCUGGUGUCCAUGGCUCGGACCACGUCCUCCUCUGGAAUAGCCCAUCUCCAGGUUUGUUGUCAGCCAGAAUUCCCGACUUCUCCCACAGCAAACACUUCCUCCUGGUUUCAGCUCCCCCGUGGUCUCCUCUCCCCAGCUCCUUCCUCGUUUUCCGCUCCUUAUUUCCCUUCAUUGACUGCCAGAAUGAGGCACAGAGGAGCCCCAGGAAAGGGGCCUGACACUUGGCUCCACCCUGGGCUGCAAUAUGUUGCUUCAGUUAUUCCUCACUUUAAUUCCCUUCUUAUGAGAAACUGAAGCCCAGACAGGAAUAUUAAGAAAGUUGUCACCCCAUAAAUACACACAAUUAUUAUUUGUCCCUAAAAAAUAAAUUUGCCAUAAGUGCUAUAAGGUCACCUAGCCAGAAAAUACUGGAACAGAAUUGCCUUCACAUCAGAUUUCAGAGCAAGCGAGACUAGCUAAAGAGACAGCAUAUCAGGGAAUGAUCAGGAGGGAAGCUUAUGGUGCAGAGACCAGGAGGGUAUCCAGAAAAUGUGAAACAGUGGAGAGGGUAAUGGAAUCAAAACCAUGUUUGGCUGGAGGGACACUAGAAAUCUGGGUACCCUGAAUUGUGAAGACAUGGUAGGGGUGGGGGCAUCUUAGGCGUUUGAGAUUAGUGCUGGACACAUCCCUGC